RNA transcript from Triticum dicoccoides, 1000 nucleotides. It is a transcript of the gene named transcription initiation factor TFIID subunit 9-like, with no coding region annotated. The transcript is spliced from 3 exons. Lineage: Eukaryota; Viridiplantae; Streptophyta; Magnoliopsida; Poales; Poaceae. The record is from RefSeq and is a predicted model, not a curated record.
CCCACCAGCAUGGACAGCGGCGGCGUGCGGCCAUCGCUUCCGUCCGCGACGGCGGCGGGAGGAACCUCCGUCCCGGACGAGCCUCGCGACGCGCGCGUGGUGCGGGAGCUCCUCCGGUCGAUGGGGCUCGGCGAGGGCGAGUACGAGCCGUGCGUCGUGCACCAGUUCCUGGACCUGGCCUACCGCUACGUCGGGGACGUGCUCGGCGACGCCCAGGUCUACGCCGACCACGCAGCCAAGCCCCAGCUCGACGCCGACGACGUCCGCCUCGCCAUCCAGGCCAAGGUCAACUUCUCCUUCUCCCAGCCGCCGCCCCGCGAGGUUCUACUUGAAUUGGCACGCAGCCGGAACAAGAUCCCGCUGCCCAAGUCUAUUGCUCCACCUGGCUCGAUUCCUCUGCCACCUGAGCAGGACACACUGUUGAGUGAAAACUACCAGCUCCUACCCACACUGAAGCCACCAACUCAGACUGAAGAAAUAGAAGAUGACAACGAGGGAACCGACACAAUCCCUGCCAAUCCUAGUUCAAACUAUUUGCAGGAUCAGAGGGGCAGCGAGCAACAUCAGCCUCAGAGCCAGAGCCAGAGGGUUUCUUUCCAACUGAACGCGGUGGCUGCCGCGGCUGCAAAGCGUCCUCUAGUGACAAUUGAUCAGUUGAACAUGGGCUAACUUGCUUGUGUAGCUGGCUGGGACUGCCCUUUCUGGCUAGCGCCCUCCUAUUUCACCAUGAAAAAAUGCUGAUUGUUGAGGAAAGGGAGCAGCCUUGCAAGUAGUGGGGAGUAGGAUGGACUGGCACCCUCUGUGCGUGGAGCAUGGAUCAGUUACUGAGAAAUCAGAUGAAAAACAAACAGCCCGUCUAGCUCAGUUGGUAGAGCGCAAGGCUCUUAACCUUGUGGUCGUGGGUUCGAGCCCCACGGUGGGCGACCACCUUUUUUCUUGUUUUUUUUUGUACUCUCCAGGAAUCAAUUUGUUGCAUGUAGUGCAUGAAUCUGAUGGGUGG